This 383-nucleotide unclassified non-coding RNA is filed under the name Hevea brasiliensis (rubber tree). Lineage: Eukaryota; Viridiplantae; Streptophyta; Magnoliopsida; Malpighiales; Euphorbiaceae. The record is from RNAcentral.
GUCCAUCUGAAAACAGAGGUGAAUUUGGAGCUCUCAAUUGGGCUGCACCCAUUUCAGGGGGAGGCAGCAAGGGGGUCGCCGGGGAGCUCGGCCGAGUCGAGAUUGCGACAGAGAAGUCCGUUCAUAUGUUUGUGCUGCCAAUUGGGAUCGGAGAAGGGCGGGGAGUGUUGCCGGAAUUGCCAGAGGUCAUAUGGGUGGCUGUAUGGGUUCCGGCCAAGUGCUUUGGGUUCUUCAUAGACACAUUUUUAGAAACAGCUUGUGGGAGAUGGGAGAGAAUAAUAUCAAAUCUGAAUCUCCCAACUUUCUUCAAUACCAAAAACUUUUAGGUAAAAUUAUAAAUUAUUGUAAUGUAGAUAUAGAUAUUGGUAGAUUGACAACAUUUU